GAAGAUUAAUAAUCAUGAAUAGGAUUUCUCGGAUAUAAGGGCUCUUACAUGGUCCGCAAAAGAGAUAGUGAAGGAUUUUUAGGUCUGCGCCUUCCACUUCAUUGGUAGAUCUGGGAACAAAACAACGUAUGCAAUGGCACAAGAGGGAUUAAAUCAAGGCGAGGAUGGCUAUUGGGUAGAAGAUGCUCCGACAUUGGUAGAAGCAGUAGCUGCAGAAGACUGUCGUCUUCAUGAGCCUCUAUAGAACUGUUGGUUUUCUUCGAAGGGUUGUGAGGAUUUGCAUUCUGAUGAUUCCAUUUCUUGUUUGGUUGCUCUCUAUCUAGUAUUGUUAAUGAUCUUGUUUGAGCAAUUGCAGGUUGGAAUCCCACGACUGAGGGAUUCGUUUUAGUGUUUUCCUUGUAACUGUUGAUUCUUUUAAUUGUUUUUCUUUGUUCCGUUCUUUAAUAAAGAGGCCGACUUUUGAGUUAAGA
This 470-nucleotide long non-coding RNA is filed under the name Gossypium barbadense (sea-island cotton). RNAcentral's name for it is "long non-coding RNA (GBAR_LNC013981)". Lineage: Eukaryota; Viridiplantae; Streptophyta; Magnoliopsida; Malvales; Malvaceae. The record is from RNAcentral.